CAGUAGCCGCGGUAAUGCGUAGGUGGCAAGCGUUGUCCGGAAUUAUUGGGCGUAAAGGGCUCGCAGGCGGAUUCUUAAGUCUGAUGUGAAAGCCCCCGGCUCAACCGGGGAGGGUCAUUGGAAACUGGGAAACUUGGGUGCAGAAGAGGAGAGUGGAAUUCCACGUGUAGCGGUGAAAUGCGUAGAGAUGUGGAGGAACACCAGUGGCGAAGGCGACUCUCUGGUCUGUAACUGACGCUGAGGAGCGAAAGCGUGGGGAGCGAACAGGAUUAGAUACCCCGGUAGUCCCUGUCUCUUAUAA
Molecule: ribosomal RNA, 301 nt
Filed under: uncultured bacterium
Lineage: Bacteria
Description: partial 16S ribosomal RNA
Rfam family: Bacterial small subunit ribosomal RNA
Source: RNAcentral